Molecule: unclassified non-coding RNA, 300 nt
Filed under: Hemimycena lactea
Lineage: Eukaryota; Fungi; Basidiomycota; Agaricomycetes; Agaricales; Mycenaceae
Description: partial contains 5.8S ribosomal RNA, internal transcribed spacer 2, and large subunit ribosomal RNA
Source: RNAcentral
CGCACCUUGCACCCUUUGGUAUUCCGAAGGGUAUGCCUGUUUGAGUGUCAUUAAAAUAUCAACCUUGAGACGUUCUUUUGAGCGUCGCAAGGCUUGGACUUGGGGGUUUCUUGCUGCCGCUCGCGGUGGCUCCCCUUAAAGACAUUAGCCGAGGUCCUCUCUCUGCCUAUUGGUGUGAUAACUAUCAUCGCCGAUUAAGCAAGUGAGACUUUGCUUCCAAUCGUCUUCGGACAGCUCCUCUCGGGGCUCUUUAAUGACUAUUGUGACCUCAAAUCAGGUAGGACUACCCGCUGAACUUAA